UAUCAGUAUUAAAUAUUGAAGUGCCACCUAC
RNAcentral lists this non-coding RNA (31 nucleotides) under Mus musculus (house mouse). Lineage: Eukaryota; Metazoa; Chordata; Mammalia; Rodentia; Muridae. The record is from RNAcentral.